GACGAACGCUGGCGGCGUGCUUAACACAUGCAAGUCGAACGGAAAGGCCCUGCUUUUGUGGGGUGCUCGAGUGGCGAACGGGUGAGUAACACGUGAGUAACCUGCCCUUGACUUUGGGAUAACUUCAGGAAACUGGGGCUAAUACCGGAUAGGAGCUCCUGCUGCAUGGUGGGGGUUGGAAAGUUUCGGCGGUUGGGGAUGGACUCGCGGCUUAUCAGCUUGUUGGUGGGGUAGUGGCUUACCAAGGCUUUGACGGGUAGCCGGCCUGAGAGGGUGACCGGCCACAUUGGGACUGAGAUACGGCCCAGACUGCUACGGGAGGCAGCAGUGGGGAAUAUUGCCCAAUGGGCGGAAGCCUGAUGCAGCAACGCCGCGUGCGGGAUGACGGCCUUUGGGUUGUAAACCGCUUUCGCCUGUGACGAGGCGUGAGUGACGGUAAUGGGUAAAGAAGCACCGGCUAACUACGUG
RNAcentral lists this ribosomal RNA (468 nucleotides) under uncultured bacterium. RNAcentral's name for it is "partial 16S ribosomal RNA". It matches the Rfam family "Bacterial small subunit ribosomal RNA", at positions 28 to 507 of the family's 1533-position model. The record is from RNAcentral.